UAAUACAGAGGGUGCGAGCGUUAAUCGGAAUUACUGGGCGUAAAGCGCGCGUAGGCGGCUUUGCAAGUCGGGUGUGAAAUCCCCAGGCUUAACCUGGGAACUGCAUUCGAGACUGCAUUGCUAGAGUAUGGGAGAGGGAAGUGGAAUUUCCGGUGUAGCGGUGAAAUGCGUAGAUAUCGGAAGGAACAUCAGUGGCGAAAGCGACUUCCUGGACCAAUACUGACGCUCAUGUGCGAAAGCGUGGGGAGCAAACAGGAUUAGAUACCCUGGUAGUCCACGCCAUAAACGAUGAGAACUGGAUGUCGGGAGGGUCUGCCUCUCGGUGUCGUAGCUAACGCGUUAAGUUCUCCGCCUGGGGAGUACGGCCGCAAGGUU
RNAcentral lists this ribosomal RNA (375 nucleotides) under uncultured bacterium. RNAcentral describes it as "bacterial SSU rRNA". It matches the Rfam family "Bacterial small subunit ribosomal RNA", at positions 521 to 895 of the family's 1533-position model. The record is from RNAcentral.